UUAAAGCUCGGUACUGGAGGUUC
Molecule: microRNA, 23 nt
Filed under: Pristionchus pacificus
Lineage: Eukaryota; Metazoa; Nematoda; Chromadorea; Rhabditida; Neodiplogasteridae
Description: ppc-miR-8237-3p
Source: miRBase by way of RNAcentral